AGGCCCCCCGGAUAUCUGGUGCCCAACUUUACGAUCCAGAGGAGCUCCGCCCUGUGACGUUGGGCGAGGCUCCAUCUGGGGUUCAUCUCGAGGACAGUCACCCGGACGGAAGACCAACCGUGUCGGACAAAGUGCUGGACCAGACUAUAAAGGGCCUCCACUUCUUCGCGUGUCAAAUUGGGGGUGACCGCAGGUGCGCAGCCCGAGCCGGACAAUGUGAGCCCAUCGGCCUGGACCAUCGCCUGGAAUUCCGGAGGCAAAAGUCCAGGUGUUGUGGAGUGCCUGGGACAAAAGAAGUGCCUGGGACAGAAGGCCACUUACCCGUCGCCUCCCCCGGCGCCCCAGGGAGAUGAGGGACCCGAUCGGGAGGCGAGCAGAGAGGGGAAGGGGGAGGAGGAAUAACAUGGAGCCCCCCACGGUCCUGUC
Molecule: long non-coding RNA, 426 nt
Organism: Nerophis lumbriciformis (worm pipefish)
Lineage: Eukaryota; Metazoa; Chordata; Actinopteri; Syngnathiformes; Syngnathidae
Source: RefSeq, a predicted model, not a curated record